GACAGAGGUGCCGAGCGUUAGGCGGAAUCACUGGGCUUAAAGCGUGUGUAGGCGGAUCGUUAAGUACCUUGUGAAAUCCCACGGCUCAACCGUGGAACUGCUGGGUAUACUGGCGGUCUUGAGCCACCUAGGGGCGAGCGGAACAAACGGUGGAGCGGUGAAAUGCGUAGAUAUCGUUUGGAACGCCAACGGUGAAAACAGCUCGUUGGGGGUGUGCUGACGCUGAGACACGAAAGCCAGGGGAGCGAACGGG
This 253-nucleotide ribosomal RNA is filed under the name uncultured bacterium. RNAcentral describes it as "partial 16S ribosomal RNA". It matches the Rfam family "Bacterial small subunit ribosomal RNA", at positions 524 to 776 of the family's 1533-position model. The record is from RNAcentral.